RNAcentral lists this long non-coding RNA (1024 nucleotides) under Piliocolobus tephrosceles (Ugandan red Colobus). RNAcentral's name for it is "lncRNA (ENSPTEG00000005192.1)". The record is from RNAcentral. Lineage: Eukaryota; Metazoa; Chordata; Mammalia; Primates; Cercopithecidae.
AACUAAUGGUGUUUCUAGUAAUAUUUAUAGUGAUAUAUAUAAUAGUGAAAUAAAUAUUAACUGUUCUUUUUUUUUUUUUUUUAUCAAAUCAUUAAAUAUGCUCAUUGACAUAUCAAAAUCUUCUAUUAAACCUUUUCACAUAUUUAAACUAAUGAAAGUUAUCUCUUUUUUUAUAAUUUCAUCACCAGAUGCUACUCCUUCUAAUGUAACAGAAAUUGUUAUGCUGUUCGAAAAUAUUUUACUAAUUAAACGGAAUGCAAAAAUAGAAAAUGAUAGCCAUGAUUUCGUAAACACAAAAGGGGAAGUUAGUUAUAACAACGGAUCCAAUACUAGUGUCAGUCGUACUACUUUACAUAACCAAGAAAAAUCAGGUACCUUUUAUUAUAAUAGUAGUAAUGAAAAUGUAAAUGAUUUAUCAUGCUCUACGCAAAAUAAAACAUAUACCACAUUUGAUAUUCUAGUAGGACGAACAAAAAGUAGCUGUAACGGUGAUAUGACUUCCGAUAUAGAACAAACACGAAAUGAAAAAGCUAAUUUCAAUAAUAAAGACAUUUCUGUUUUAAAUGGAACAAGUACUUAUAAAUAUAAAAACAAAAUAAACAAUUACAACUCUGAUAUAAACAAAAGCAAUUAUACUGAUGUACUACAUAAAAGCAAACAACACAUCAAAUUACACAACGUAAUUAACAAAGUAUAUAUUACUAACAUCCCAGCACUUUAUGAAAUAAUAAAAACUGCUUUGAAUGUUACUAAGAUUUUAAAUAUAAAUAGACAAGAUAUACCCGUUGAAUUAAUUUUUCAUGACACCAAUAAUUUUAUUUAUGAACUCGCCAAAGCAAUGAUGAAACUACUUUUUUCAAUAGUAUACAUAAUAAAUAAAAAUGAAAAAUCAUCAGUUAUUAAUUUAAAUGUUAUAGAUGAAAAAAAAAAUAUUGAAUGUGAUAAUGAAUUAAAAAUACUUACAUUUAUAAAAUUAAUAUUACAAUUUUUUAUAGAAUUACAAACAUUUUUUAAAAAUAUUAUA